This 750-nucleotide ribosomal RNA is filed under the name uncultured bacterium. RNAcentral describes it as "bacterial SSU rRNA". It matches the Rfam family "Bacterial small subunit ribosomal RNA", at positions 49 to 790 of the family's 1533-position model. The record is from RNAcentral.
CGUUAGUUGGCAGUCGAGGGGCAUCGGGAGGGAAGCUUGCUUUCCUUGCCGGCGACCGGCGCACGGGUGAGUAACACGUAUGCAACCUGCCCUCUUCAGGGGGACAACCUUCCGAAAGGGAGGCUAAUCCCGCGUAUAUCGGUUUCGGGCAUCCGGGAUCGAGGAAAGAUUCAUCGGAAGAGGAUGGGCAUGCGGCGCAUUAGCUUGACGGCGGGGUAACGGCCCACCGUGGCGACGAUGCGUAGGGGUUCUGAGAGGAAGGUCCCCCACACUGGUACUGAGACACGGACCAGACUCCUACGGGAGGCAGCAGUGAGGAAUAUUGGUCAAUGGGAGAGAUCCUGAACCAGCCAAGCCGCGUGAGGGAAGACGGCCCUAUGGGUUGUAAACCUCUUUUGUCGGAGAACAAAACCCGGGACGUGUCCCGGACUGCGUGUAUCCGAAGAAAAAGCAUCGGCUAACUCCGUGCCAGCAGCCGCGGUAAUACGGAGGAUGCGAGCGUUAUCCGGAUUUAUUGGGUUUAAAGGGUGCGUAGGCGGUCCGUUAAGUCAGCGGUAAAAUUGCGGGGCUCAACCCCGUCGAGCCGUUGAAACUGGCAGACUUGAAUUGGCGAGAAGUACGCGGAAUGCGCGGUGUAGCGGUGAAAUGCAUGGAUAUCGCGCAGAACUCCGAUUGCGAAGGCAGCGUACCGGCGCCAGACUGACGCUGAGGCACGAAAGCGUGGGGAUCGAACAGGAUUAGAUACCCUGG